Long non-coding RNA from Falco peregrinus (peregrine falcon), 2032 nucleotides. RefSeq lists it as uncharacterized. NCBI's taxonomy places the organism in Eukaryota, Metazoa, Chordata, Aves, Falconiformes, Falconidae. The record is from RefSeq and is a predicted model, not a curated record. The transcript is spliced from 2 exons.
CACUCAGUGUCAUGAUGCCUUAUUUCUGACUUCACGGACUUUGCAAACAAGGUGAAAUAAAGAAUGAGUGGGGAAUGUGAAGAAGUGCAGAGUUAAAAUGAUGUAUUUCUCUACGUGGAGCAUUUAAGAGAUACCUCUGCCCCACUUUUUUUCAUCUGCCUAAAGACACGUGGACCAGGCUCUGUAAGGUCCAGAGGGGUGGAUAUGAACUGUUACGAAUACCUGAAUGCGGUCUUUACUUGAAGAGCUAUCUUUUCAAUGCCUGACCAGACAGGUUUUAUUUGUCUCUAUGGAUGAUGUCAUUUUCAGCUAUUGUUACCAGAAAACACAUGCUGCAUUGCCUCCAUAAAGAGCUUUUUCACUUUGAGAACAAACCCGAAGAAUGGUUUUCCGUUUCACAUAAACUAUGCUACCAUGUAGGCUUGGUUUCAUGGACAACACUAAAAUAAAUCCUGACUAAAACAGCAGCAGCACACAACCACAUGAGAGAUAAUUAUCAAAAAAAGCGAAGACUUUUCAGGCAACCUACUCGCAUCCAAAUUCGUAGUGCUACACCUAUGCCCGCAACACAUCAUGCAUUUGGUCACAUGUAACUAUCUGCAUGCAAAGGGAGUAUCUCACCUCUUCUUCAUUACACAUCCUAGGAACACCAUUUCUGUACAACUGAAGCUACAAGCCAGAAUUAUUCAACAAGAAUUAUCAUCUUUGACUAUUAACUUGAAAUUCAUGCUCUUUUAAAGGCCUUCUCUGUUACUUAAUCCAGAAGCUGAAUACCAACACGAAACCUUCUGACAUUACUUCAAAUCAUCAGGUAUUUUCUCUUCCUUCAUGACUCGGGUUUAAUGAGUAUCCUCUCUCCAUCCCUACCCACUUGAGAGUCAAAUUUUAAAAAGAAGCAGUGUUUACCAUGAGUGAAAGAUAAAACAUGUUGCAUCCCAUUUUUACAAUGCCAAAAGCCUCUACCAAUAUGAUAAAAAAAAAAAAAAAAGGCACAAAAUCUCAGCAUAAAAUAUGGCAACCUUCCAUUGGAAUAAUAGUGUUACAGCAAUUAAUCUGAAGAUGUGGCAAAGAACUGCCAUUACUAGAAUUCAAACCUCAAAGCACACUAAGGGCUACACAAAUGCCUCCAGCUGCUUGGAUGUGCUCCAUCCUACCCUUUCCCCAUCCCUCCCCUGCUCUCUCACACCAGCACUAGCUGCCUGCUCUGACAGAAAACUACCCCUCGCUCUUGCCACCCCUGCCAAAAAGGUCAGCGUGCAGCGGGAUCACCGAAGAGGAUCUCUCACUGCACGUCUGCAAAAGGGAGCAGAGGGAAGGGGGCAGCAGCAAGAGGCUGCUGAGGGCAGGAGGGGUGGGCUGCCAGUUUGCACAGGAGAAAGAGCAGCACAUUUCCAACUGUGCAGCAAGGCAAGGAAGAGAUUCCCAGGACAGAGCAGACAGGGGCGCCUACGAUGAGAAAGGUUUUGUGAUCAAAAAGCAAAUCUGAUUAAAAGCAGUAGGAAAGAGAAUUUUAAUCAAGGUAAAGCCAACAGAGCAGCAGCCUGUCUCUUGCCUUGAGUUCAAAAUAGUUUAUUAUCAUUAAUAUCACUGAUGAACGAACAUAAAAGGAUUUCUGCCCUACAAAGGAAGAGACAGGCCCAUGCAGCAGAAACUCCCAAUGUAAGAAGUGGAAACAGAGCUGUUCCUUCAGGUGAAUUGUCAAGAGACCAGCUGCGGGCAAGCAGAGGCACCACAGGGUGCCUAGAGAGCAGAGAACCUCCUAAGGGGUAAGGGGUAGCAUCCCCCACCACUGACACCACAGCUUCAGUCCACAACCCAUUUGUUAUCUGACCUCUGCUACAGAGAAAACGCAUCCCAACAAAACAAUGCCCUAGAAGAAGCACUUGAGCAACCAAGAGACCACGUGGUUCUUGGAGGGGUGAAGCCACCUCUGGCUGCUGCCCAUCCAGUUCCUGAGGUGUUGUAACAGCUCCUGGCUGCUGUGGCUCCUGUGGUGGGACUUCAUGCUCCAAAUUGUCUGCGUUAACAUGAG